This 492-nucleotide ribosomal RNA is filed under the name uncultured bacterium. RNAcentral's name for it is "partial 16S ribosomal RNA". It matches the Rfam family "Bacterial small subunit ribosomal RNA", at positions 29 to 507 of the family's 1533-position model. The record is from RNAcentral.
AGUGAACGCUGGCGGUAGGCCUAACACAUGCAAGUCGAACGGCAGCACAGUAAGAGCUUGCUCUUACGGGUGGCGAGUGGCGGACGGGUGAGGAAUACAUCGGAAUCUACUUUUUCGUGGGGGAUAACGUAGGGAAACUUACGCUAAUACCGCAUACGACCUACGGGUGAAAGCAGGGGAUCUUCGGACCUUGCGCGAUUGAAUGAGCCGAUGUCGGAUUAGCUAGUUGGCGGGGUAAAGGCCGACCAAGGCGACGAUCCGUAGCUGGUCUGCGAGGAUGAUCAGCCACACUGGAACUGAGACACGGUCCAGACUCCUACGGGAGGCAGCAGUGGGGAAUAUUGGACAAUGGGCGCAAGCCUGAUCCAGCCAUACCGCGUGGGUGAAGAAGGCCUUCGGGUUGUAAAGCCCUUUUGUUGGGAAAGAAAAGCAGCAGGUUAAUACCCCGCUGUUCUGACGGUACCCAAAGAAUAAGCACCGGCUAACUUCGUG